AUGCCUACUGCUCAUCAUCACUGUUUAGAAGGAAGGAACAAGAACAGUGACUAUCCAGUGGAAAAGCAGCAGUCACCUGCUGUGUCUUGUAUGGAUACUGGGAACCCUUCACUGGUCAGUACAACUUUGCCAUUUCAUGCUGUAGAUGGCCCUCUUGGGCACAAAUUAGUGUUGUGUACUUCUUCAAGGAGCUCAAGGGAAAAUGUCAACGCUUGUAGUUCAGCCCUGACUUCAAGUGAUCUCGGUCCAUCUAAUUUGGAGUUCCUUCAGCCUAUUUUGCAGUCCUCACAGAUUUCUGCUGCUUUGUACUGUUCAAUCCAGAGGCUGAAGCAAGAAAUUGCUUUCAUGGGGAGCCGGGCCUCCCUUCCUCUGGAGCCCAAGUCUUUUCCAGUUGGUGGCAGUUUGUGCUUUGCUCCUGAUGAUGCAGCUCCUACUAUCCUGAGCACAGGAGAACAGCAAGCUGGAAUAAAAAGCAGUGCUGCUCAGGCAAGAUUGAGAUGGAGCAUCCCAUUUGCUAAAGGCACGGGCCUUGGUGCAGUGACGAGGGACUUUGGGCAUGCUGAACCUAUCUCUGUCUCUCACAGAUGCAGAUACAUUGACUCGAGCAUGUGGAGAACCAAACUUUCAGGUGGCAUCCAUCCAGAUAGGCUGUCUGCUGGGCUGGGCUCUGGCAGCCUUGUGGAUACAGAAGAAGAUUCUUCCAACGAUUGCUCCCCUUAUUUCAGACGCCAGUCCUGGGCAAAGCCAACUCUGGAAACUGGUGGGCUUUAUGUUCAUACAAAAAAUCAUUCAUGUGAAAAGGUUCUUAAAGCAGAAGGGACAUCUGGUGAGGCAUCCCUAUGUGCUAUGCCUUGGACAAAAAGCCACCCUGAGGGUCUGCGUGUGUCCCUGGAAACGUGGUUGGCUGGGACUCAGAUGAAUGUUGGUGUAUCCAUGUGUGGGACUCCAAGAGAAGUGUGUGUAAGAGUCACUUCUUCUGGAGAUCAAGAGUUUAGGCCAGUACAGCAGCUUAGCAUUAAAUCUGUAGAAGUCAAGAACCCCAAACCUCCUGUUGAAUCCAGCAAAGGCUUAGAAGAGUUAUGUGACUGUAGAUCUCGAGCAGCCAGCAGGAUGGCAGUGGGGGACAGCAGCCAGUCCAGCCUCUUCAGCACUCAGGUUGGAAAAGACACUGGUGACUGUUCCAACACAGAACAUGUGAAUGCAAACAGAGAAGAAAGGAGAAACAAACACUUCCAGCAAAGCAGCUGGAGGAACUGGGAAGCUCCUGACCACUCUGAAGAACCUUCUGUAGAGAGGAAUGCCAAAGAACCACGGUGCUGUGAAGAAGGGAGCCAGCCACAGGAAACUGUGCCCAGUGAGGUGUCAGAGAACAGCUUCUGGUCUCCAAAGAUGAAUGAGCAAAGUUUCCAGCAUUUACAUGACAGACAAAUGGUAACUAGGUGUUUCCAUGCCUGGAGGGACCACAUCAUCUGGAAGAGGGCUGCAGCAAGGCAGCAGCAGCAGCCUCAAAAGGCCCUUGGUGUAGCCCAGCAGAGAGGUGCCUCAGCUCUUUUAGCUGCCAGCUUCCACAAGUGGAAGGAAGCUGUGACAAAACAGAGCCAAAAACAAGCUGCACAGUCUGAGUCAUAUUCGUAUACCCAAAGUUCAUCAGUGGGUUUUUCUGGAAUAGGAAGAUUAGCAACUAUGACAACCCCAGCUCAGCACCAGCUUACAGAAGGAUACAUGAAGGAAGCUGAGCAGGCUUGUAGGGUGGAGAGCGAACUGUGGACACAGCUUCAUCGCAGGCAGAGAGGAGACGAGUUCUAUUGGAGAGCUCAAGCAAUAAGAGAUGUGAGACGCCUAGCUGCAGCUUUCAGACUGUGGCGCCUUCAGAAGGAGCUGCUGAGCAAUGAGGAAGGCAAGCUGCUGGAAGCAUAUGCCCUGAUGGAAAAGAAAAGGCUACAAAACAUUUUCCAGGUGUGGCAGUCCCGAUACUUGGAAAAGAAAAAGAUUUUAGGGCUGACAAUUCAGAUCCAAAGAAACUUGGUCUCCCGGUGCUUCAGUGCAUGGAAAGAGGCUGUUGAGCUAAAGGCAUAUCACAAGAGCAGCCUGACACAUCUCAGAGUAGAAUCAAAGAGGAAAUACUUCCAGCAGUGGUUUCAAAUGUUGCAGGUCAGAAAAAGCAAUAAGCAGGCAAUGGUGAAACUCCUCCUUCUGAGAUGGAGGCAGCAUUAUGGACCAGCUGUAAGCUCAGUAUCUCACAGGACUACAACAGAAGGAGAUGACAGCUGGCCAUGGUGGGCUGUAGUGACACAGUUUCCUGAGAAAACAGGCUACUCUCUUGAUGACUUCUGCCUAAAGAUGAAACUCCAGAGAGCGUAUCUGUUGUGGAAAGAGAGGCUGUACGAGCACUGCAGAGCUGAUUCUUUCUCUCAGGCUUUGGAGGAGCGUAGACUCAGAAAAGCUCUGAAAUUAUGGCACCAGAAGUAUCUCAUGCUGAAGGCAAACAAAGAAAGUCCUCAGCACUCUCACAGGGCUGCCUAUGAAGAACCUCUUGCUGUGCUGUUUUGUGAGGAACGCUCAACAUCUUCUGGCUUCCACAGCAGUGCUCCAACUACUCUUGCCUCUCAAAGCUCACUGGAAAAGGAAUACAGUUUCAGUGACAGCAGCCAGCAGAGCUGCUCCUCCGUUCUGACUGCUGAGGAUGUGACAUAUCUGCCUUAUUACAAUUCUUUCCUGCAACUACACCAAUGUGCAGAGCUGCCAGCUGAGCUGGGUGGAGAGCUGUGCUUGCAGGCUUCCUUUCCUCCAUGGAGGAGUAGAUCUGGAGAAAAUUGGUUUGUGGAAGGUCAGUUCCAGUCUUUGGCACUGCAGAGUGCAGACAGUAAUGUCCAGCCUCUUGUCAGUUACUCUACAUGGGAAGAGGACUGCAGCUCUGAGAAGGAGGCAGAGAGUUCCUGGCACCAUGUGGAGAAAUGCUGCCUGGAGAAGUACUUCAUCAUCUGGUCCACUCGAACUCAGCAACUCACAAAGGCCCAGCAGUACUGCAGGCUUCUUCAGCUGUCUCGAGCCUUUCUCAGGUGGCACCGCUGCGCUGCGGAGAACAAGAACCAAGAAGUAGCAGCAGCCCUUAAAUACCAAUUUAAUUGCUGCCGGAUGGCUUUCAGCUUGUGGAAGAAGAGACUGGCCCAGAAAGUGGAAGCUGACCAGAGAUUCAGGUGUCACCUCCACCAGAUGACUGCUGAUGCUCUUCGGCGUUGGCAUUCCUACUGUCAAAGGAAGUGUAACAUGAAGGAGCUGCAGCAGAGAUGGGCUCAGCAUAGCUGCCAGGAGAAGAAGAGAUUGAUCCUGCAGAAGUGGCGCUGCCAAACAAGGCAGCUGAAAAAUGCUGCUUUAUUCUGGGAGCGUCUCCUCCUGCACAGGUGUGUAGUCAUCUGGGCCCGGGUCACUGCCUGCUCACUGAGGCAGCAAGAAGCCCUCUGUUAUUUUAGAAGGGUCAGAGAGAACCAUCUUCUGGAAGUGAGUUUUGCAGAAUGGAGAGUGAAGUUCUUGACAGCUAAACAGCAGUUGGUGGAAGAAGAGAAAAACCACACAUGGCAUGGAUGUUCUCAAGCUAAAGCCUGUCAGCGCUGGCGAUUGGCCUCAAGGGGACAGCAAGCCCUACACUUGGGGUCUGUGGCCACUGUGAAACAGGCCUGCAACUAUUGGACAAAAGCAGCUGCCUUUUCCCAGUGCUCACGGCAAUGCAGUACCCUGAUAGGCGCUAGGAAGAGCAAGAAGAUGUCUUUGUCUUUGUCCAUGAAAAGGAGAGGAUGCAGAGAGAAAGGUUCAGCUCCAGCUGCUUCCCUUGGGUUUUUUCCCAGUGCUUUUCACCGCUGGCUGGUGAUCUACAGAAGCCAAAGGAGGACCGAAAGGCUGCUGCUCCCUCAACAGCUAGAGGGGCAUGAUUUGGUAGGACCUGUCCCUGGGCACGCCAGGAUCCAGGAGGACAAAGCAGAGGUGGACUCUGAUGAGUGGAAUGACAAUUGGCUUGGGAGGAAGUACCUGAGGUGGUGGCAUCACACGGUGACGCUGCGCCGGUGCCAGCGUGCCAGGAGGCUGCACAGUCUGGCAAGGGGUUGGCAGCAGUGGAAAGAAGCCAGCAGGGUGGUGAUGCUGGCACAGAUGUUGGACCAGCAGCGGCUGAUAGAAAAGGCCUGGAGAGCGUGGAGACGUCGGUAUUUACAAAGCUGUGUAGUGCAGAGGUUUUUGGAGGUUGAAGCCAGGAGCCUAUUGUCUGAGGCAUUUGGAAGAUGGCGUCAGCUCACAGCGUUCCAACUCAAGCACAGAGGACACUGCUGAAUGGUGGGCAGCUGCCUGCAGCUGCUUAUUUUGGGAGUGGAGGAUACGGCUGGCAGUCACAACAAAGAGCUGGUCUCUUGCAAUCAAGAAAGCAGUGCAUGAUCUACCUGUGUGAUUCAAAACAGUGCUGCAGGCCCAAAGCGUGGUGAUAGCCAAAGGACAACCAGGAAGAAGGGGGAUCCAGAGAAAG
This 4510-nucleotide long non-coding RNA is filed under the name Phasianus colchicus (ring-necked pheasant). RNAcentral's name for it is "lncRNA (ENSPCLG00000020424.1)". The record is from RNAcentral. Lineage: Eukaryota; Metazoa; Chordata; Aves; Galliformes; Phasianidae.